This 254-nucleotide ribosomal RNA is filed under the name uncultured bacterium. Its description in RNAcentral is "partial 16S ribosomal RNA". It matches the Rfam family "Bacterial small subunit ribosomal RNA", at positions 28 to 280 of the family's 1533-position model. The record is from RNAcentral.
GACGAACGCUGGCGGCGUGCUUAACACAUGCAAGUCGAGCGGUAAGGCCCUUUCGGGGGUACACGAGCGGCGAACGGGUGAGUAACACGUGGGUGACCUGCCCGUCAGCUCUGGGAUAAGCCUGGGAAACCGGGUCUAAUACUGGAGUAUGACUCCAUGACGCAUGUUGUGGGGUGGAAAGCCUUGUGCGGCUGAGGNUGGGCUCGCGGCCCUAUCAGCUUGUUGGUGGGGUGAUGGCCUACCAAGGCGACGAC